Molecule: ribosomal RNA, 438 nt
Filed under: uncultured bacterium
Lineage: Bacteria
Description: bacterial SSU rRNA
Rfam family: Bacterial small subunit ribosomal RNA
Source: RNAcentral
AACGCGAAGAACCUUACCAGCCCUUGACAUGGGCAGGACCGGUCCAGAGAUGGGCUUUUCCCGCAAGGGACCUGCCGCACAGGUGCUGCAUGGCUGUCGUCAGCUCGUGUCGUGAGAUGUUGGGUUAAGUCCCGCAACGAGCGCAACCCUCGCCUUUAGUUGCCAGCAUGUUUGGGUGGGCACUCUAGAGGAACUGCCGGUGACAAGCCGGAGGAAGGUGGGGAUGACGUCAAGUCCGUAUGGCCCUUACGGCCAGGGCUGCACACGUACUACAAUGCUCACUACAGAGGGACGCAAGACCGCAAGGUGGAGCCAAUCCCUCAAAGCUGAUCCCAGUUCGGAUUGGAGGCUGCAACUCGCCUCCAUGAAACUCGGAAUCGCUAGUAAUGGCGCAUCAGCUACGUCGCCGUGAAUACGUUCCCGGGUCUUUACACACCG